GCAUUAAUGGGGUAGUGGUAACCUGGGUCGUUGCCAUUGGCAGGUUGUAACUAAUUUGUCGACCCGCCGGGGGUUCGAUACCCCCUUAAUGCA
Molecule: non-coding RNA, 93 nt
Organism: Mycena olivaceomarginata
Lineage: Eukaryota; Fungi; Basidiomycota; Agaricomycetes; Agaricales; Mycenaceae
Source: the annotation of a GenBank genome assembly